GCAGCGCUGUUCGAUUGGACAGGAACGCGCCCGUCACCGCGCUGUGGGGCCGCCUCGGCCCCGCCCCUCGCUGCCGUGCCUGAGGGCUUGGCCGGGCGAGGCGGCGGGGGCGAGCUGAGGGUCCCUCAGUGCCCGCCCCGCGCCCCCGGCCCGCGCCUCUUCCCGGCCGAUCACCGCCUCCGGCCGUCCCCGCCGCCUUUGUCUCCUUCCUAGAGCCCCCGGCUGAUGGGGCAGCGCGGGACGCGGAUCCAGGCGCUGCGGUCCGCCCCGAGCGGCGCGGCCGGCGUGUCCCGGCUGCGAGGGCCACGGCAGCGGGAGUCAGCGAGGUCUCAGGGGCCUCGGAGAGCCGUGAGACCGCUCCUACCAUCCACAGCUGGCCCUCGGCCCCGAGCGAGAAGCUGGUGCUGGCUCAGGUGGCCGAUGGGGCGCGAUGUCCGGCGGUGGGAGCCAGCAGCGCCCUUGGCGUGCUCGCUGCGGGCUGGGUGAGCUGCAGACCUGCCUGGGCAGCCGGCACUGUCGUGCCUGCAAGUCUGCUGGCAAAUGGCAGGGCUGGUCUGCUUCCUUCUUCACAGCUAUGUGGGUGCACAUGGCUACAGAAGCCCCUGCCUGUCUGCACAGAAUCACAGAAGCGUGGAACAGCCCAGGCUGGAAGGGAGCUGUACAGAUCAUUGGUCCAACUUUUGUGGGAGGCAGCCUAGAUGGGAUUCUAGAGCACCCUGGCAGCUUGGAAACCUCCUGUGACAGGGACUCUGCCCCCACAUCCCUGCGUUUCAGUCAUUGGUUGUUCUCAUGUUAAAGAAAAUUUAUCUUGUGCCUUGUUUUCUCCAUGUGGCCCUUUGUGAGGAGAGCCUGCACUCUGCAGCACUCUGGUAUAUUGAGAUUAGCCUCCUGCCUCCAAGCCUUCUCUCCUCCAGGGAGAUAAGAUAUAACUCCGUCAGUCUUUCCUCACAGAGCAGGUUGUCCUAGCCUCUCCGUUUAGUGGAAUCAGCAACCUGGGUGCGGGCGCUUUCAAAUCCAUCACCCAAGUCGUUGUGAAGAUGGACCGCGUGGAGCCCAGUGGCAAUCUCAGGGAGACCCUACUUGCAACAGGCUGCCACCCUGAAUUAAAAACAUUGGUCAGGACCCUCUGAGUGCAGCCUCUUGGCCGAUUUUCUACCCCUCUUGCAAACCACCCUGCAAACACAGUCUGUGUCUCACCACUUAGUCCAAGAGAAGGCUUCCUCAUCAGUGGAAGCAGAGUGAGAAGCCUUCCAAUGUAGUUGCUGAAUUGUCAUCAUCUAUGUAAGAGUUGGAUGCCUCCAGUGACAUAUGGAUGUGCUGCACACAUUGCCUGUGCCCUGUGCAAGGUCAAGUGCUUGGAAAGAAGCCCAAACAGCUUCCUGGGUCAGGAAAUGUGGACACACAGUGAGCAGGACAUCGGGGUGAUGGAGAGAAAAGAGGACUGACCCACGUGGCAUGCUGGGGAUGAAGUAGCAGCACUGGACUGUUUUGCUUGCUGUGGUAGGAAGGUAAAUUGGUGAUGGAUUUUGAUCUGACUGGUACGCUAGGAUGUCUACAGGGUGAGGCUGGGUACAGUACAGAGGUUUCCCCACUUUUGUGCUGGCUGGAGAUGCAACACUCCAGAGCACAAACUUGUCUUUGCUCGAGUUCCCAGAGUGGUUUAAUGCACAUUACACAGCAUGAAUACUUUGUAAGACCAAAGCAGGUCUGCUUACUGAUGUCCUUGUGCUUGAUGUGGUACAUGAGGAUUGGUUGCAUUGAUUAGCACUAAAA
This is a non-coding RNA of Taeniopygia guttata (zebra finch), 1773 nucleotides long. The record is from RefSeq and is a predicted model, not a curated record. NCBI's taxonomy places the organism in Eukaryota, Metazoa, Chordata, Aves, Passeriformes, Estrildidae.